UACGAAGGGGGCUAGCGUUGCUCGGAAUCACUGGGCGUAAAGCGCACGUAGGCGGAUUGCUAAGUCAGGGGUGAAAUCCUGGAGCUCAACUCCAGAACUGCCUUUGAUACUGGCGAUCUCGAGUUCGGGAGAGGUGAGUGGAACUGCGAGUGUAGAGGUGAAAUUCGUAGAUAUUCGCAAGAACACCAGUGGCGAAGGCGGCUCACUGGCCCGAUACUGACGCUGAGGUGCGAAAGCGUGGGGAGCAAUCAGG
Molecule: ribosomal RNA, 253 nt
Filed under: uncultured bacterium
Lineage: Bacteria
Description: partial 16S ribosomal RNA
Rfam family: Bacterial small subunit ribosomal RNA
Source: RNAcentral